UCCACAGUAGAUCAGUGGUAGAGCUAUCGGCUGUUAACCGAUCGGUCGUAGGUUCGAGUCCUACCUGUGGAGCCA
This 75-nucleotide transfer RNA is filed under the name Staphylococcus aureus. RNAcentral describes it as "tRNA-Asn". It matches the Rfam family "tRNA". Rfam says of the family: Transfer RNA (tRNA) molecules are approximately 80 nucleotides in length. The record is from RNAcentral. Lineage: Bacteria; Bacillati; Bacillota; Bacilli; Caryophanales; Staphylococcaceae. RNAcentral also lists the same sequence under 2 other names.